CCCGGGCAGGGAGGGAGGGAGGGAGGAAUCGCUGCUGCAUUUCAUUGCCCAAGUGCGGCACAGCCUCCCCCCGCCCAGCCCGGCCGCACAGGCCGUCCCGAGCAGCGGCCGGGCCGGGGGCAGGGCGCGGAGCCGCAGCCCCGGGGCUCGACCCCAGCCCCAAGCCCGGCAGAGGGGGGCCGGGGGGCGAUGUAGGGGUGAGGGGGGGCGGCCCCACAGCCCCCCCGCGGGGCUCCGGGCGGGCAGCGCCUCCCCGCAGCCGGCUCCUGCGGUGGCUGAGCCAACCUCGGCCGCCGGGAGGGAAAAAGCAGCGCACAGCAGCGGUGCCCUUUGGGAUGAGGAAGUAAACACUGUGAACCAGCAAAGGAAAAUUCCUCCUCUCCUGUUUCAGACAAAACGGCCCACAGUUACUCAUCCUCCUCACCAAACUGAAGCGAUGUUUUCAGGGAAUCUUUGCCUGGCAUGGAGGCUGCGGCCAUAGUUUCACAAAUAUAUUUAACUGCCUGCCCCUGACGCUGCUGGAAAAUAAGCCAUCCAGCGCUCAGCCACCUUCUGUCCCUGCAUGAGCCCUUGUGCAAGGACAAGGAACCCCACCUGGGACGGGGAUCAGCGCUAGGGAAACGCAGCCCAUUUCCUCACCGGUCCGUCUCCGCAACCCCUUCACCUCACGACUGCACACACGCUUGUGCUGCAACGAGGCAGGGGGCAGGAUGAGCAACUGAGGACACAAAGGGGACAGGAUAGCUUCAUUGGUGCCACUGCCUGCUUCAAUAUAAAAAUAUGGGGAGUGAGGGUGAGCGGGUUCUGUACAGAACCGGCUGUACCCCUUCUCCGCAGCUGCAGCAGCAGGACUUUUCCUGUGUUUGCCUUCCUACCGCAUCCAGAGCCCUCAGCACUACAAAUGUGAGCUUCUGGCACAGAAGGAAGAAUGAGGAGGAAGUAUGGGUAAGGUGACUGAAAGCUCAAAGACCUCCUCUCUGAUAGCUUGUACAGUCAGAGACAGCUCAGACACAUUACCCCAGCGUCUCGGUGUCCUCGUACUGAAAUAAGCAUUUACCUAAUUUACUAGUCCUUACAUAAAAUAAAGUGUAUGGCUUCAAAGUUAGCCUCACUUGGCUUUUGCCACCAUGAAUCAAGUGUGGGUCCUGAUUCUAAGAUCACAUCUUUUUCACGAUCCUGCACGUUCAGCUGUAACACAGUCACUGGGAGCACUGUUUCUAAUAAGCGACUCCACAAACUCAGAAACAUUUUCUGACAAGAGCACAUAACGAAAUUCUUCCUUUUAACAAACUGCUUGUUUUCAGUUUCCCCAAGAACACUGUGUGUUCCAAACUACCCACUUUUAGAAGUGCAUUGUCCCUGGAGUUGCUACAAGAGGGAAAAAUUGUUUCCUUAAAUUGAUUACAGGCUUUUCUGAGGAAAAGAGUUCUAUUUUGCUGCCUUUCCUUUCUAGUUCAAAAGAGCAGCCUCAAAAUGCAAGUAUGUAAGUACAGAAAAAGAAAAUGUCUUUAUUGUGGCUGGAACAUGGACUUACUAAUAAAUACACACUUGACAAGAGGAUCUCAAAGAAAUUUGGAAAAUUAAAAAGUAAAGAAGCUGUUUAUUGUGUCACAGGACUGAUUUUUCUAGUUGGGUGAAACUCAAAAUAGUGAACAAGCAGCUUUUGUUUACGUUAAUACUUCCUAUUCAUAACGUUUCAAGUGUGUAUUAUACAUGAAACUGCAGUCACGUUCAGUUUGUUCUGGAUUUUGUUCUUGCACUUUUACAAAUCCAAGGCAAGCAUCAUCAAAUGCACAAAUGCAGCUGAUGCAUGUUAAAAAUUAUGAAAUACUACAGUGUCAUGAAAAGCAUACAGAUUCUCCAAAACCUAUCCUGCAAUCUCUGAUAGUACUUUCAUAGGUAUUAUCAUCUCCAGUUUCUGCCAAGCACAAGAAAAAAACUAUAAACUUUUGAGAUACACACACAGCAGUUCAGAGUGAACAGUUCAGCCUGUCUCACUUUGAUUUUCACUUUUGGACAAACCUUCCCUAAAUAUCUGUGGACACCUUUUAAUCUUUUACAUAGAAAAGAUAAAAAAAAAAACACACACACACAACUUUCCAACUGCACAUCGUGACAUCGGUCUAUGAUUGCAGUAUUAGCCUGACCGAGAUCCUACCCUGGUUAGGAUGUACUCUAUCAUGUGCUGCCUUACUGUGCUCCAUGGUUUGCUGCAUAUCAUGUGUUGAAGCUACUCACAAAGUAAGGUAUCUCAAGAAUAUUCCAACAUCUGACCCAAGGAAGCAAGAGCUGAUUACAAGCCCGUGUUUCACAGUAUAAAAUGAUUGACAGUGCUACUUCGCGACUGUUUCCACAACUCCUCCACUCCUUUACCAUUUAUUUUUGCUCCCAUUCUUUAAAGACACAAACCACAUAAGAAAAAAAAAUGUUUUCAAAAAAGCCUCCUUCCAAAUAAGCUUUUAAAGCAGUUCAGUUUCCCCAGCCCAGUUCAAAACAGUCUCUUGAAAGCUUUCACUACGAUAACACGGGGCACUCCAGUCAGCAGUGCAGGAGCAAGAGGGACGCACACUAUGUUAUGGUUUCAGAAAAAGGCCACUGAUCCACAUUAUCUCUGAGUCUGGACACAGUAUCAGAGGGGUUUUUUUUGCAACCUUUUUGUUUGUUUGGUCUUGCCUUUUUUUUUCUUUUCUGUUUGGUUUGGUUUCAGUACGUGCAUUACCUGGAUUUUUGGCCAGUUUAAGACAACAACAAUGAGGGUUCUCAUUUGUAUUGCAGAGAGAACUCAGUUCCAGCUUUCAGAGACUGGGGCAUGGUGGUGCACUAGUAAAUUACCUACAGCGCUAGACAAUACAUAUUUUAAGAAAGCAGAAAUUGAUCCAGUGGGCAUCCACUGGUGGCAGCCUAUGCUGAAGUCACUAGACUGAGCGUAUUUCACCACAUGCCACAGCGAUUCUGCCAAAAAUUGGAUUUUUAACGGGCUCGUUCCCCUCAUUGAAGCAACAAUUCUCCAGUAACUACAGAACAGAAGACAACUGGAGAACAGCAUGUUAGCUUAGCCUUUAUGCCCCACCGAACAAAUACUACAUCUCAAAUUUGCACAAUGUAGCUGGAUAGAUGAACAGUUCUCUAUUGCUCUCCUCCUCCAUUUGUAGCCUGAAAGUCAUCAAGUAUUUGGUGUGCCUGCUGCCCAACACCAGGCAUCCAACAGGAGAACACAGUACCCGAUAUAAAACCAAACCAAGCAAACAAAACCGGGAUUCGAACUUUGAAGAUACACAUUGUUCUUGUAUCACUUGGAGUUGCUUUCACGUAGAAAAUCAAAGAAUAGAACUAGCAAAAAAUUAAACCCUAAAAAAAAAAUUAAAAAAAAUACAAUACUCCUUGGCUUUAGAUUUUUGUAGGCUCUGCUGUUACCAUUUUUUUAUCUGACUUUUUCUCUCACUAUAUGGGCCCGUACACUAACCUGUUCAGCACUCCAGCAAACACUACAUCCUGAGGAAGAAACCAUGGCCCCUCCACAGAAGCGCCCCAGCUUUUUCAGAAAAAGGACAAUUCUCUUAAGGAAGUAUAACUGAAGCCUUCUGUCAGAAAUCUGCAGACAGAGAGGAACACAUCAUUAUAAUGCUGAGAGAGCAUCAAGUAAGACUACUGAAGGAAAUAUCAUCAGUUGUCCUCUGGGCAUUCUUUUUAUAUUCGAUGGACCAGAACAUUGUCACAGGAUAAUGGUUGUCUGCCGCCUUGCCCCUAUUAAAUUAAAUUAAAUAUUUGAUUGGAACUUUCCUACUUGCUCUCUGUAGAAAUAAAAACUGAUGCAAAAAAGC
This is a long non-coding RNA of Anas platyrhynchos (mallard), 3821 nucleotides long. RefSeq lists it as uncharacterized. NCBI's taxonomy places the organism in Eukaryota, Metazoa, Chordata, Aves, Anseriformes, Anatidae. The record is from RefSeq and is a predicted model, not a curated record.